UGAUUUUUAGGCUUCUUUUUUAAGAUUGGUACCAAAGAAAACAUGACAAUAUCAGAUGUCUACUCAUAUUUUUUUCUCUAGUGCCUAUCUCAUGUGAUUUUUGUUCAAAGAGGAGCUCUUUUUCUCAUUAGGGAUAAAGGAGAGAGGGAGACGGAGAGAAUGGGCUGAAUGGAGAAAAUGGAGCCCAUUUUCAUGCUAUGGAACUUUUUCCUUUUCUUUCUAGAAAAAGUCUUUGUGCACCACAUGCGAUGUAAUAAAUUUGAUGUGGAGCAC
RNAcentral lists this long non-coding RNA (273 nucleotides) under Elaeis guineensis (African oil palm). RNAcentral's name for it is "long non-coding RNA (EGUI_LNC055342)". Lineage: Eukaryota; Viridiplantae; Streptophyta; Magnoliopsida; Arecales; Arecaceae. The record is from RNAcentral.